Oryza sativa Japonica Group (Japanese rice) is the source of this 2539-nucleotide non-coding RNA. Lineage: Eukaryota; Viridiplantae; Streptophyta; Magnoliopsida; Poales; Poaceae. The record is from RefSeq and is a predicted model, not a curated record.
AACUGAAAAUGAAAGCAUCAUUAGUCAAAAUUUGAGUUUUGCAAAAAAAAAUCAUAUGAUGUUGACAAAAUGAAAGGCUUUUUUUAUUGUUUUGACACCAUUUUUGAGGCUAAAUACUGCUUGAUUUAUAUUUUUGAAUCUGAAUAAGUCCCACUCUAUUAGUUUUGCUUUCACAUACUACUGCAUUAUCCUUAGCCUCUAAUUCUUCAUAUGAUGUUGAUUUUGCUUAAUGUAUUCCCCUUAUAGUCCAGUUACAGUCCAUAUACACUGUAGUUACAGUUGUAACUUUUAUUAUUUCUCACUGUAACUGAAUGCAGGUAGUUAGAUUAUUUUUAUUUAUCAUGCUUCACCUCUAAUUUUUAAUGUAUAUAAAUUUGUGCUAGAUGAAAAUUUCUACAAAUAUCAUAUAUGGUGCCAAUGACAGAUGAAAUUUUCAACAAAGAUCAGAUAUGGUGCAUAAUAAUAGGUAAGCAUGUUUUUUCUAACCUUCAACUGUAUUGUUUCUUCUUAAUUCUUCAGAGUCAAUUCUGUCACUUCCACAUCUCUCUGAUUGUGAAUUCCUUGUUACUUCAGCCUUUGUUCUAUCAGCCCCUGCAUGUGUUAGGUUAUAUUAAUAUUUUUAGAACAUGUUACAAUACGAAGUAAUGCUGAUAUUAUUGCAUGAGUACUGAAUUUCUGAUAGAAGCUACAAUAGGAACUAAUACUGAUGUUCUUGCAUUAGUACUGAAAUAGAAAUUCAAUACAAGUAUGUGUUUGUGCAUGUUUUGUGUUUAUAUAAGUACUUAAUUUUGAUUUCGUUUGAAUAGGAAAAUCUGCAUAUAGUUUAGUGACAUAAUUUUGUAAUUAUGUCAUUAGAUUCUUUGCAGUUUUUAUCACUCAGAUGUAGUCAAAAUUAGGUCUGUUAUAGUUCAACUUUAGUUGUAUACAAAGUUUAGAAUGCUAGUCCACUAUAAUUACAAUGUUUCAAUAGUAUCUUGAAAGAUUUGCAUGAAUAUAGUAAUAACAAUGCCAUUCUGACCUGGAACAACUUCAGUGGUCUGACUUUUGGUUUCUUUAAUAUGUUUUGCCAUAAUAUUGCUCUUAUCUGAUUCUUGGCUUCUUCUUUUUUCAUCUUGUACUUCUUCAUGACCUGCAACUGGAGAAAAUUGAAGUUUUCAUGAGAAACUACAGUGUUAUGUUUGAUGAAAUUUUCUAUGAAGAUCAGAUAUGAUGCACAAUAAUAGAUUCUGCUUUGUUUUUGCUUAACAAGUGCUGCCCGGGACAUAACUCUUAUGUGUCUACUUAUUCCUUUCAUUAAAACAGAAAAGGAGAACUAGCCAGGUAAAUUCUAUGAUCGUCAAACUUUUUCUUGCAGAAAAAUUUAUGGAUGUAUAGCUCCAUGUUUUUUUAUUGGUUGCAUUUAUGUGGAUGUCAGCUUCAAUAUAUGUUUUCUAUUAGGAAAUUACCCACAAAAAAUAUAUCUCUUGAGGCAUUUGAAUGGCUGAUCUUAAACCUUGUAUCUUUUUUGAUUUAGUUAUGGUAUUUGAUGCCCACUUCUUUCAUCUGGGGAUUUAGUUUAGUUUUCAAAUUGUAUUUUCAGUUUUGAAUCUUUGAUUUAACAGAUGAAGUCAAUAUUUUAGGUUUCAUGCAGUCCUAAAACACACUUACAGUGCAACUCACACCACUUACAGUGGAAAUAUACCUUAGUUACAGUUGUAAUUUUUAUUAUUUCGCACUGUAACUGACUAUUGGUAGUUAGAUUGUUAAUUAUUGAUAUUGGUUUUAUCAGAGACUUGUAGUUUGGGGAACCCUAGGCAUCUUUAUUUUCUUAGAUAUGUGCCUGAUAUAUUUUUUUUUUGCUAGUUAGUAAUGUAGGCCUAGUUUUGUACUGUUUUUUUUUCUGUUAUCUCUAUUUCUCUUGGUAGAAUAUAGAUUGACCUGAGGCUUCUUCCUUGAUAGAAGCUUGACAUACUGUCUCUAGUUUACUUCCAUUGCUUAGCAUGGAAUUUUUAGGUUUAGUGUGGUGCCCGUUAUCUCACAAGUUAUCUGAGAUAGCAACUGUUGAGGAAUUUUUGUCUCUAAUUUCAGAUGUGCAAGAUAUUCUUAUCUAUAAUUUUUAGAUGUGUCCACAUGACAUUUUCAUUUUUUUGGUCUAUUGUUCUCUGUGUGAUAUUGACUGGGUUAUAUGUGUACUUUUUAGCAACUUUGUUUUGGCUUUUGUUGCUCUUGCAUGUGUUGAUUCUGGGAGCAAGGGCCUUGGAGCUGCUUGGAUUGUGGGAUGACAGCAAUGGAAAUUGAUGUCAACGUGGGUGAAGGGAUCAUGUUCAUUGAAGGACAUACUAGUUGUGAUCAACAGAAUAUGUUUUGGGAUGCAAAAGUUAGAGAUAUGUGCACUGUAUGAUGUAUGUUCUUCUGGUGCCCUAUGUUUCCCCUUAUUUCAAUAUGAAACUUAUAGCUUAUUAGAAGGAUCUUUUUGAAUCAAAAGUCAUGUUUCCCUACUCAGUACUGCUUGAUGUAAAGGAAUCCAAAAUUUCAUGCAAUUUCCCUAAGAGUUUUCAAA